This 253-nucleotide ribosomal RNA is filed under the name uncultured bacterium. RNAcentral describes it as "partial 16S ribosomal RNA". It matches the Rfam family "Bacterial small subunit ribosomal RNA", at positions 524 to 776 of the family's 1533-position model. The record is from RNAcentral.
UACGAAGGGGGCUAGCGUUGCUCGGAAUCACUGGGCGUAAAGCGCACGUAGGCGGAUCUUUAAGUCAGGGGUGAAAUCCUGGAGCUCAACUCCAGAAUUGCCUUUGAUACUGGGGAUCUCGAGUCCGGAAGAGGUGAGUGGAACUCCGAGUGUAGAGGUGAAAUUCGUAGAUAUCGGGAGGAACACCAGUGGCGAAGGCGACUUCCUGGCCUGUUCUUGACGCUGAGGCGCGAAAGCUAGGGGAGCAAACGGG